CACACGACUCUCGGCAACGGAUAUCUCGGCUCUCGCAUCGGUGAAGAACGUAGCGAAAUGCGAUACCUGGUGUGAAUUGCAGAAUCCCGUGAACCAUCGAGUCUUUGAACGCAAGUUGCGCCCGAGGCCAUCCGGCCGAGGGCACGCCUGCCUGGGCGUCACGC
Molecule: ribosomal RNA, 164 nt
Filed under: Oryza malampuzhaensis
Lineage: Eukaryota; Viridiplantae; Streptophyta; Magnoliopsida; Poales; Poaceae
Description: 5.8S ribosomal RNA
Rfam family: 5.8S ribosomal RNA
About the family: 5.8S ribosomal RNA (5.8S rRNA) is a component of the large subunit of the eukaryotic ribosome. It is transcribed by RNA polymerase I as part of the 45S precursor that also contains 18S and 28S rRNA.
Source: RNAcentral